This 253-nucleotide ribosomal RNA is filed under the name uncultured bacterium. Its description in RNAcentral is "partial 16S ribosomal RNA". It matches the Rfam family "Bacterial small subunit ribosomal RNA", at positions 524 to 776 of the family's 1533-position model. The record is from RNAcentral.
UACGUAGGGUGCAAGCGUUGUCCGGAAUUACUGGGCGUAAAGAGCUCGUAGGCGGUCUGUCGCGUCUGCUGUGAAAACUCAGGGCUUAACCCUGAGCUUGCAGUGGGUACGGGCAGACUAGAGUGCGGUAGGGGAGACUGGAAUUCCUGGUGUAGCGGUGAAAUGCGCAGAUAUCAGGAGGAACACCGGUGGCGAAGGCGGGUCUCUGGGCCGUAACUGACGCUGAGGAGCGAAAGCGUGGGGAGCGAACAGG